RNAcentral lists this ribosomal RNA (490 nucleotides) under uncultured bacterium. RNAcentral's name for it is "partial 16S ribosomal RNA". It matches the Rfam family "Bacterial small subunit ribosomal RNA", at positions 30 to 507 of the family's 1533-position model. The record is from RNAcentral.
AUUGAACGCUGGCGGCAGGCCUAACACAUGCAAGUCGAACGGUAACAGGAAACAGCUUGCUGUUUCGCUGACGAGUGGCGGACGGGUGAGUAAUGUCUGGGAAACUGCCUGAUGGAGGGGGAUAACUACUGGAAACGGUAGCCAAUACCGCAUAACGUCGCAAGACCAAAGAGGGGGACCUUCGGGCCUCUUGCCAUCGGAUGUGCCCAGAUGGGAUUAGCUAGUAGGUGGGGUAACGGCUCACCUAGGCGACGAUCCCUAGCUGGUCUGAGAGGAUGACCAGCCACACUGGAACUGAGACACGGUCCAGACUCCUACGGGAGGCAGCAGUGGGGAAUAUUGCACAAUGGGCGCAAGCCUGAUGCAGCCAUGCCGCGUGUAUGAAGAAGGCCUUCGGGUUGUAAAGUACUUUCAGCGGGGAGGAAGGGAGUAAAGUUAAUACCUUUACUCAUUGACGUUACCCGCAGAAGAAGCACCGGCUAACUCCGUG